This 727-nucleotide ribosomal RNA is filed under the name uncultured bacterium. Its description in RNAcentral is "bacterial SSU rRNA". It matches the Rfam family "Bacterial small subunit ribosomal RNA", at positions 61 to 806 of the family's 1533-position model. The record is from RNAcentral.
GUCAUUUUGGCGAGCUUGCUCGCUAGUGGCGGUUUGCUGAGUAUUUCGUAGGUGACCUGCCCCGAAGUGGGGAAUAACUGCCCGAAAGGGUGGCUAAUACCGCAUGUGGUGGUUCGUUCAUUCGAGCCUCCAAAGCAGCGAUGCGCUUCGGGAGGGGCCUGCGUCCGAUUAGCUCGUUGGUGGGGUAUUUGCUCACCAAGGCGUUUAUCGGUAGGUGGUCUGAGAGGUUUAUCACCCAGACUGGGACUGAGAUUGAGAUGCCCAGACUCCUUUUGGAGGCAGCAGUCGGGAACUCUGCGCAAUGGUUUAAAGUCUGUUUCAGCAUUUCCGCGUGAGGGAUGAAGGCCUUCGGGUUGUAAACCUCCUCUCUCAGGGUUUAUAAUGUUUGUACCUGAGGAAUAAGUCUUUGCUAAUUGAGAUUUGCCAGCAGCCGCGGUAAUUUUUAGGUGGCUAGCGUUGUCCGGACUCACUGGGCGUAAAGAGCGCGCAGGCGGUCGUUCAAGUCGAGUGUGAAAGCCCCCGGCUCAACUGGGGAGGGUCACUCGAUACUGAUCGAUUGAGAGAAGGCGGGAGAGGGAAGCGGAAUUCCCGGUGUAGUGGUGAAAUGCGUAGAUAUCGGGAGGAACACCAGUGGCGAAGGUUUUCCGUCCUGGCCCGUUCUUGUUUCUGAGGCGCGAAAGCUAGGGUAGCAAUUUGGAUUAGAUACCCCGGUAGUCCUAGCCGUAAU